GAUGAACGCUGGCGGCGUGCCUAAUACAUGCAAGUCGAGCGAACAGACGAGGAGCUUGCUCCUCUGACGUUAGCGGCGGACGGGUGAGUAACACGUGGAUAACCUACCUAUAAGACUGGGAUAACUUCGGGAAACCGGAGCUAAUACCGGAUAAUAUAUUGAACCGCAUGGUUCAAUAGUGAAAGACGGUUUUGCUGUCACUUAUAGAUGGAUCCGCGCCGCAUUAGCUAGUUGGUAAGGUAACGGCUUACCAAGGCAACGAUGCGUAGCCGACCUGAGAGGGUGAACGGCCACACUGGAACUGAGACACGGUCCCGACUCCUACGGGAGGCAGCAGUAGGGAAUCUUCCGCAAUGGGCGAAAGCCUGACGGAGCAACGCCGCGUGAGUGAUGAAGGUCUUCGGAUCGUAAAACUCUGUUAUUAGGGAAGAACAAAUGUGUAAGUAACUAUGCACGUCUUGACGGUACCUAAUCAGAAAGCCACGGCUAACUACGUG
This 497-nucleotide ribosomal RNA is filed under the name uncultured bacterium. RNAcentral describes it as "partial 16S ribosomal RNA". It matches the Rfam family "Bacterial small subunit ribosomal RNA", at positions 28 to 507 of the family's 1533-position model. The record is from RNAcentral.